Long non-coding RNA from Hevea brasiliensis (rubber tree), 1020 nucleotides. RefSeq lists it as uncharacterized. The record is from RefSeq and is a predicted model, not a curated record. The transcript is spliced from 2 exons. Lineage: Eukaryota; Viridiplantae; Streptophyta; Magnoliopsida; Malpighiales; Euphorbiaceae.
UUAUGUUCCUUGAAGAUCAUGGAUUAUGUGUUAAUGAUUGCAACACAUCAGCAUGUGUGAGACACGGACCAGCCGUCCAAUUUCCCUUCUGAAUCAAAGGCAGGCAAUCACUCCAAGUUAUUUAUACUAAUGAUCCAGAAGGUUGCCUUCGGAGAAGUCUUUUGAGCUUCGAUCUAUCUGUUUCUCCCUUCCAUCUUAAGGGGCAUUAUGCCUACGAAAACACAUUAUUCAAUUGCUCUUCAACGGGAGGCUAUAAGCCAAUCCACUGCUUUAGUAGUCCACAAUAUCAGGUCUAUGCCGUUUAUUCAGAGAGUUCUAUUGGUGACUUGGACCUGAACGUUGUCUUGCAAUAAGAUACAUGAUAUUUCUCCAGUUCCAUAUCAUUCUCUCUAUUCCCUGGGAACAUCGUUUGAGUUGGGACAAUCCCAAGUGUAAGAGUUGUGAAGUAAAAGGCAAGUGCUGCAGAUUGGAGAGCAACAACACUAGAUCUGAAACUCAAUGCUACGGCAUGCUCAAGCCACAACAAGGUGUAAUCCUGGGUUCAAUCCUUCUUGUACACUACCGCAGAUAUAUGUUCAACAAAAUAGAAAGACAAUAUUAGUCCAAGAUUGAAAAAUUUUUGGAUGACUACAAAUCUUUCAAGCCUACUAGAUAUUCUUAUGAUGAUAUUAAGAGGAAGACUAACCAAUUCAAAGACGAAUUGGGCUAAGGAGCUUAUGGAACUGUGUUCAGAGGAAAGCUAUCUGAUGAAAUUAUGGUAGCUGCUAAAGUCCUCAACAACUCCAAAGGAAAUGGAGAGGACUUAAACCGCAUAAACCGCAUGACAUCUUGUUUGAUUACGACUUCAAUCCCAAAAUCUCAUAUUUUGGAUUGGCUAAGGUUGGUGCUAAGGAUCAGAGUGUGGAGCCCAUGACAACGGCGAGAGGGACCUCUAUUAUGUGAAUUUAAACCAUGCAAUGUAGAGAUUGGAGGAAUUGAGAAAACAUUAAUCAGAUUGUGUUUUUGCUUUAAAUUACUUUA